This 278-nucleotide ribosomal RNA is filed under the name Paenibacillus polymyxa. RNAcentral's name for it is "partial 23S ribosomal RNA". It matches the Rfam family "Bacterial large subunit ribosomal RNA", at positions 2059 to 2336 of the family's 2925-position model. The record is from RNAcentral. Lineage: Bacteria; Bacillati; Bacillota; Bacilli; Caryophanales; Paenibacillaceae.
AUGCAGGUUACCCGCGACAAGACGGAAAGACCCCAUGGAGCUUUACUGCAGCUUGAUAUUGAAUUUGGGUACGAUCUGUACAGGAUAGGUGGGAGCCGUAGAACUUUGAGCGCCAGCUUGAAGGGAGGCAUCCUUGGGAUACCACCCUGAUCGUAUCUAGGUUCUAACUUGGUACCGUAAUCCGGUACGAGGACAGUGUCAGGUGGGCAGUUUGACUGGGGCGGUCGCCUCCUAAAGAGUAACGGAGGCGCCCCAAGGUUCCCUCAGAAUGGUUGGAA